UUUUUUAUUUUUGGUUUCUCUUCACAGCCCACGUUGGUGUGCUUGCGCCACUACCAAUUCUCUGAGGAUGGUAAGUCGGUGAGCAGUAUCGGUCACCGAUAUAUAUAAAAAAGAAUCUUUCAGAGUGUCUCUCAGGUCAGGGUUCCGACGACAUCUGGUGAAAUCGUUGGUGGGUACAGAAAAGCAGGUCCUUGCUCCAAAUUUAGUAAACUAUAGGGACCCUAUAGAGUAAGUCCAUAGAGCUUGUAAAGAUCCUUAGAAAGAGGAAUAUCAAUAUUA
RNAcentral lists this long non-coding RNA (279 nucleotides) under Capsicum annuum. RNAcentral's name for it is "long non-coding RNA (CANN_LNC021336)". The record is from RNAcentral. Lineage: Eukaryota; Viridiplantae; Streptophyta; Magnoliopsida; Solanales; Solanaceae.